Tigriopus californicus is the source of this 894-nucleotide long non-coding RNA. RefSeq lists it as uncharacterized. The transcript is spliced from 3 exons. NCBI's taxonomy places the organism in Eukaryota, Metazoa, Arthropoda, Copepoda, Harpacticoida, Harpacticidae. The record is from RefSeq and is a predicted model, not a curated record.
UUGAGGAGGUCCAUUGGAAAAUGGUGAAUUUUCAGACGUGAAUAAAGCCCAAAAAUUAACAGUGAAACAAUUAACGGUUACAAUCUUCUAAAACCUUCGGUCUUGCGGUAUUCAAUUCCAGUUACCACUUUGCUUCUCUCGUCCAUUUUUCUCAAUUAAUGGAUUCGGGCACCAUAACAGAGCUUGCCUAAACGUCCCCAUAGUCCACACAAGACGACCAAAGUUUAUGGAGCCGCGCUCUUUAUCAUAAGGAGUCACAUGGUGCACGAGUUCGUCGAAAACUACGUCAAAAAUGCACGAUUGGGUAUUGGUGGGAUUGUGGCUUACUUGCAGCAGCCAGAGAGUCCCUUGUUUCCAUCAAAAUCAAAUAGGUCUCUGGAUAGUACAAAAGGGGGAAUCAAAUGGGCCCGUGCUGCUCUCUUGCAAAUUGGGGUGCAAAAUGAACAGGAUCCCAAAUUGUUUUCUUUUACUUUGGCGGCAACCCGUGAGGCUUUCUCUGACUUUGGAUCAAUUACCAUGCCCAAUGACGAAGAAGAUAGUACUCUCUCCAAGGACAGUGCCACGCACAUAGGCCACAGCGUCAAAACGGCAGAGCGACAUUGACAAGGGAAUGUAUAAACUGAUGCAUAUGAAAUGAUCCUAAAAUAGAGCGAUUGAUUUGAUACGAGCACAAGGAUGUCCAAGAGAGUCUACCAGCUCCUAUUUGGAAACAUGGAAGAUCCAGCUGCAGAUGUGGAAAAUUAUGAGGAAGAGGCUUCCUCUGAAUCUGGCCCUGACUUACAUUACAAAUUUUUCUAAAAUCAAUUUUUGAUCAAACUAAGUUAUUGCAUGAAAAUUACUGAAAUUGAAUAAUUUUUGAUACUAUGUUGGUAUCAUCUUUUAAGCAGUCGGAAU